RNAcentral lists this small RNA (1118 nucleotides) under Pan troglodytes (chimpanzee). RNAcentral's name for it is "retained intron". The record is from RNAcentral. Lineage: Eukaryota; Metazoa; Chordata; Mammalia; Primates; Hominidae.
GGAGUGGGCUGGGUGGAUGGUUUGGGGAUGUUUGGGGGAGGUGAGUAAAGGGGUAGAGGGAGAACGCUCUUUGGGAUUGUGUUGGAAAGAGAAGAACCAAAGUGGACUGUACUUGCAUUUCAGUGAAUGAUUUGAGUUGUGCGACUAAAGGCUUUUUGGAAGAGGGUUGUCCAGUUAGGAAAGGUGGAUGGGAGUUGGGGAGGGGGUUUUCUGUUCUCCCUUUGAGCUGAUUUCCUUCCUCUCCCACGUCCUCAAUUAACUCCUGCAGGUCUCGAAGUGCUGCAGCUAAAACUCAUACAACUGCCUUGACUGGGCGAAGUCCUUCCCCUGCUUCAGGGCGACGCGGGGAGGGAGAUGCGCCUUUCAGUGAACCAGGUACUACCAGCACACAACGGCCUAGUAGCCCGGAGCCUGCUACGAAACAGCCUAGCAGCCCUUAUGAAGACAAAGAUAAAGACAAGAAGGAGAAAUCUGCAACUCGACCUAGCCCCUCUCCGGAAAGGAGCAGCACAGGCCCAGAACCACCUGCUCCCACUCCGCUCCUUGCUGAGCGACAUGGCGGCUCCCCACAACCCCUUGCAACCACCCCCUUAAGCCAGGAGCCAGUGAACCCCCCAUCUGAGGCCUCUCCAACUCGGGACCGUUCACCACCUAAGUCUCCCGAGAAACUUCCCCAGUCUUCUUCCUCAGAGAGCAGCCCACCAUCCCCUCAACCUACCAAAGUUUCUCGGCAUGCCAGCUCUUCCCCAGAAAGUCCUAAACCUGCUCCAGCUCCAGGGUCCCACCGAGAGAUUUCUUCUUCUCCCACAUCUAAGAAUCGCUCACAUGGCCGAGCAAAACGGGAUAAAUCACAUUCUCAUACCCCCUCCCGUAGGAUGGGGAGGUCCCGUAGCCCUGCCACCGCUAAGAGAGGGCGAUCUCGGUCUCGAACCCCUACCAAGAGAGGUCAUUCUCGAUCCCGAUCUCCCCAGUGGCGUAGGUCCAGGUCUGCACAGAGGUGGGGAAGAUCUAGAAGCCCCCAGCGACGUGGCCGCUCUAGGUCUCCUCAGCGACCAGGCUGGUCUAGGAGCAGAAAUACCCAGAGAAGAGGCAGGUCUAGGUCAGCAAGGCGAGGGAGG